Eupeodes corollae is the source of this 962-nucleotide long non-coding RNA. RefSeq lists it as uncharacterized. The transcript is spliced from 3 exons. Lineage: Eukaryota; Metazoa; Arthropoda; Insecta; Diptera; Syrphidae. The record is from RefSeq and is a predicted model, not a curated record.
GGUGCGUAUUUUGACAAUUCUACGAAAAUGUAAACAAAACAAAAUUCAGUAUCAAUAAUGCAAAUGAAGGUAAAACAAAAAUAUUAAUUUAUUGAAAUAAAAAUAAAUAAUGAAUUUAAUUUAAUCCUCAGAUAAAGAAGAAACCAAGGAUAAUAUUGCAAGAAGAAAAGUGGAAGCCCCGAGUAGGAAGCCAGCAACGCCGACAUAUUUAUUCUGGAGUGAAUAGGUACAAAUUGAAGUUAAAAUUACACUUCUCAACAAGACUUUGUUCCUGGCAAUCAAAUCGCUCUAUUCUGAUGGAUUAUAUCCUAAUUUUUAACCCUGUAGGAAUGAGAAGGGCCGAUUACAGCGAAGGGAUCGAUGUCGCAGAAGACUGAAAAGCUUUGCUUUGCAACUUAUCUGACAUGCUUCAUUUAUUUGAGAUGGAUAUGCAAGUCGAGAGUUGCUAUGAAAUUGAGGAAUCUCUUGACAUGCUGGUCAUUCAUAACCAAGCCAACUUGAACAAAUACAAGUUGAAUCAAUUGCAGCGUUUGACAGGAGCACAUUCACGUCAUGUGUCACCAUCUGUGCAAUGCAAAGCACUUCUUUCAGCCAGCUACGGAUAGGCGAAAGAUUGCAGUGUAUGCAAGUAAUUCCUCAUGAUGUGAACAAUAGUUAAUUUAAUCUAAAUCAGUUUUUCAAGACAGUACCUAACACCGAGGAUUGGCCAGUUGAUCUGUUUCACUAUUUUUUUUUUUUGCAGAAAUUCACAUUUGAAUAUCUUCCUUUUACAUUUUUGGGCGUACUCUGUGAUGUAGUUGGUCUCUGGAAGUCAAUUGAAAUACCUUCCUUCAUUUAUGAUUUAUUGCUUUCGAUGCCGUCAACAUUUUCAAUUCAAUUCAAACCCGAAUCCAGAAUUACUCUACCAAUUUAAGCUCUUGAGAUAUUAUUUUGUUUGUAAUUCGAAAGCAAUUAUAUAUAUA